This 398-nucleotide RNase P RNA is filed under the name Campylobacterota bacterium. Its description in RNAcentral is "Epsilonproteobacteria bacterium (hydrothermal vent metagenome) RNase P RNA component class A". It matches the Rfam family "Bacterial RNase P class A". Rfam says of the family: Ribonuclease P (RNase P) is a ubiquitous endoribonuclease, found in archaea, bacteria and eukarya as well as chloroplasts and mitochondria. Its best characterised activity is the generation of mature 5'-ends of tRNAs by cleaving the 5'-leader elements of precursor-tRNAs. The record is from RNAcentral. Lineage: Bacteria; Pseudomonadati; Campylobacterota.
UAGGUACAACAGGUAGUUGCUGGUGACAAUUGUCACGAGAGGAAAGUCCGUGCUACGCGUGAGAUAGGACUCCACCUAACGGGUGGCUAGAGUAAUCUAAGGGCAAGUGCAACAGAGAGCAGACGACCCCCCAUUCUCCAUUAAAAGAGUCCUCGCUCUUUUUCUCCCCUAUUUCUGAUAAUGGGGUGGUCAAAGGUGAAACGGUGGUGUAAGAGACCACCAGUACCCAUGGUAACAUGGGUAGCUAGGUAAACCCUGUCCGUAGCAAGAGGCAUAUGGUAACAAAUCUCACACAGCCAUUAAGUUGGUAUUAUGUCUCGCUUGAGUAUAUUGGUGACAAUAUAUCUAGAUAAAUAACUACCCAAUGACAGAACACGGCUUAUCGUUGUGCCUAUUUA